RNAcentral lists this non-coding RNA (24 nucleotides) under Arabidopsis thaliana (thale cress). Lineage: Eukaryota; Viridiplantae; Streptophyta; Magnoliopsida; Brassicales; Brassicaceae. The record is from RNAcentral.
AGGAGACCGAGAAAGGUAUUGCCG